Molecule: ribosomal RNA, 433 nt
Filed under: uncultured bacterium
Lineage: Bacteria
Description: partial 16S ribosomal RNA
Rfam family: Bacterial small subunit ribosomal RNA
Source: RNAcentral
AACGAACGCUGGCGGCAUGCCUAACACAUGCAAGUCGAACGAGACCUUCGGGUCUAGUGGCGCACGGGUGCGUACCGCGUGGGAACCUGCCCUUAGGUUCGCAAUAACUCCCCGAAAGGUGUCCUCAUACCGGUUAAUGUCUUCGGACCAAAGAUUUAUCGCCUUUGGAUGGGCCCGCGUUGGAUUAGCUAGUUGGUAGGGUAAAAGCCUACCAAGGCGUCGAUCCAUAGCUGGUCUGAGAGGAUGACCAGCCACACUGGGACUGAGACACGGACCAGACUCCUACGGGAGGCAGCAGUAGGGAAUAUAGGACAAUGGGCGAAAGUCUGAUACAGCAAUGCGGGGUGAGUGAUGAAGGCGUUAGGGUUGUAAAGCUCUUUUACCCGGGAUGAUAAUGACAGUACCGGGAGAAUAAGCUCCGGCUAACUCCGUG